AAUGAGAUAGUAUAUUAAAUUAUUACACUAAAUUUAGGAUUUAGAGAAAGAUCACUUAUUUUCUCAUUA
This 69-nucleotide transfer RNA is filed under the name Isodiametra pulchra. RNAcentral describes it as "tRNA-Leu". The record is from RNAcentral. Lineage: Eukaryota; Metazoa; Xenacoelomorpha; Acoela; Isodiametridae.